AACUUUCCAGAGAUGGAUUGGUGCCUUCGGGAACUCUGAGACAGGUGCUGCAUGGCUGUCGUCAGCUCGUGUUGUGAAAUGUUGGGUUAAGUCCCGCAACGAGCGCAACCCUUAUCCUUUGUUGCCAGCGGUUAGGCCGGGAAACUCAAAGGAGACUGCCAGUGAUAAACUGGAGGAAGGUGGGGAUGACGUCAAGUCAUCAUGGCCCUUACGAGUAGGGCUACACACGUGCUACAAUGGCGCAUACAAAGAGAAGCGACCUCGCGAGAGCAAGCGGACCUCAUAAAGUGCGUCGUAGUCCGGAUUGGAGUCUGCAACUCGACUCCAUGAAGUCGGAAUCGCUAGUAAUCGUGGAUCAGAAUGCCACGGUGAAUACGUUCCCGGGCCUUGUACACACCGCCCGUCACACCAUGGGAGUGGGUUGCAAAAGAAGUAGGUAGCUUAACCUUCGGGAGGGCGCUUACCACUUUGUGAUUCAUGACUGGGGUGAAGUCGUAACAAGGUAAGCGUAGUGCU
RNAcentral lists this ribosomal RNA (516 nucleotides) under uncultured bacterium. RNAcentral's name for it is "bacterial SSU rRNA". It matches the Rfam family "Bacterial small subunit ribosomal RNA", at positions 994 to 1509 of the family's 1533-position model. The record is from RNAcentral.